GUGCCAGCAGCCGCGGUAAUACAGAGGUGGCAAGCGUUGUUCGGAUUUAUUGGGCGUAAAGGGUUCGUAGGCGGACCGGAAAGUCAGAUGUGAAAUCCCACAGCUCAACUGUGGAACUGCAUUUGAAACUUCCGGACUAGAGUGUGAGAGGGGUAAAGGGAAUUCCCGGUGUAAGGGUGAAAUCUGCAGAGAUCGGGAGGAACACCAGUCGCGAAGGCGCUUUACUGGCUCACUACUGACGCUCAGGAACGAAAGCUAGGGUAGCAAACGGGAUUAGAUACCCCGGUAGUCC
This 292-nucleotide ribosomal RNA is filed under the name uncultured bacterium. RNAcentral's name for it is "partial 16S ribosomal RNA". It matches the Rfam family "Bacterial small subunit ribosomal RNA", at positions 505 to 796 of the family's 1533-position model. The record is from RNAcentral.